CGUGUGCUGCGGCUGUCGUUCAUCGCUUGUCGCGCUCCAGCGCGAAAGCACCGGAGCACGUUCAGAAGAAGACCAGAGCUUCACGUCCGCCGCCAACUCGUUGCCCUUGUGACAGGAUGGCUUGGAACCCAAAGGCACUGCUCGACCCGGUCAAAGCUAAGAAGGAUGACCAAAAUGCGGACAAACCGAAGCCAGCGGCCUCGGGGGCGCCGCCCUCUGGUGCUCCUGCUGCAGCGCCACCACCCGCAGCGCAGCCGCCGCCGCCCGAGGUCGUGGAAUCCCCAGGCGAGAUGCGCGGA
Long non-coding RNA from Dermacentor andersoni, 299 nucleotides. RefSeq lists it as uncharacterized. The record is from RefSeq and is a predicted model, not a curated record. NCBI's taxonomy places the organism in Eukaryota, Metazoa, Arthropoda, Arachnida, Ixodida, Ixodidae.